UGGACACAUAGCAUGGACUGCUCCUAAGCUUGAUUUCUACUACAAGAACUUUGGACAGUCUGCCUGCAUGGACAGUGUCCUGGAUUUUGUUCAUUAAGGCAUUAUACUGGUAGAAAAGACAGAGGGGAAGGAGAAGGAAACAGUUCAGACAGUGACAGAUAAGUCAUUCUGAUUUCAUGUUUGAGGUUCCUCUCAAAGUUUUUCAUGCACUCACUUUAUUCUUUAACAAAAUAUAAAGGCUAUACUACUACAAUAAAACUAGAAUUAUUACAGCAAGAAAAGAAAGAAGUAAAAUUAAGGAGUGUUUCACAAAGUACGUUUUGACAUCAAACCAUGUGCAGGUUUAAUCUGUAUGUGGUUUUAUGUUUAAUGAUAUUUAAAUAUUGGGACAUAUGAAUACAAUAAUGGACUAACCUUUUCUUCCAGUGCAGAAUUUCUAAUCAGGACAGCGGACUUGUAUCUGAAAGACUGCUUUGACUCUUCAUACAAGUACGCACUUUGAAGAGGAGCCAAAAUGUUGUUUUUAAAGUCGUCACAGCUUUCUGGCACAGAUCUUUGAAGCUUCUUUCACACCAAGCAACUGCAGAUGUGACUUAAACCUGCAUUUCCUCUAAUGGCCAACAGAUGUCCACUGGGUCAAAAAUAAAGUUUGAUUGUGUGGAAAUCUACAAGAAAAUGACCCUACUUCUCACUUAAUUUAUUACCACAGUAAAGACUUAA
Long non-coding RNA from Scomber scombrus (Atlantic mackerel), 720 nucleotides. RefSeq lists it as uncharacterized. NCBI's taxonomy places the organism in Eukaryota, Metazoa, Chordata, Actinopteri, Scombriformes, Scombridae. The record is from RefSeq and is a predicted model, not a curated record. The transcript is spliced from 3 exons.